RNAcentral lists this long non-coding RNA (219 nucleotides) under Salvia miltiorrhiza (redroot sage). RNAcentral describes it as "long non-coding RNA (SMIL_LNC013856)". Lineage: Eukaryota; Viridiplantae; Streptophyta; Magnoliopsida; Lamiales; Lamiaceae. The record is from RNAcentral.
ACGAAAGCAAUUUUUAAUGAAAUACUUAAAAUUUAAUUAAAUAACAAAAAUAAUAAACAACAUUUAAUAUGCAAAACAUUGUGGUUACAANUCUUCAUCCUUUUAAUACUAUUAAUUAGUGGAGCUAGAUGAGGUUGAUCUGGGCAUCAAGAAUUUUCAGGUCGUCUGGUUUCAUAGUAACUAUAGCUUCAAUGUCAUCCCGUCUUGCCGUUGAAAAAA